GUGGAGCCAAAGAAUAUCACUCAGCUACCCCCUCAAUUAAUAUAGCACUAAUAAUGCGAGUGGUGUUAAAGCAAUAGAGUGGUGCGUGAGAGUAUAUUUAGCUGCCUAUUAGAAUAUUAUUACAACAAAACCCAGCACUGUGUGUCACGGCUCCCCAUCUCUCAUCUCUCUCUCUCUCUCUAUCUCUCAUCCCCCAUCCUCACUACCAAACAAAUUAAAGAUGCAAAACUAAAAUCCACCUACACACAAACGCAGCAUCUUAAAACCUCACAGAAGUAAGAAAAACAAGAUCAGGUUCUCAAGAUAUCAAAUCUCCAUUUGUAUUCGCAUUCGAUCCACUCCUACUCAGAAGAAAAAAAAACACUGAAAAAGCUUUACAAUGAGGAACCCAUCGUCUUCGUCGAAAGCAGCGGCAGCAGCAAGUGCUAAG
RNAcentral lists this small RNA (430 nucleotides) under Malus domestica (apple). RNAcentral's name for it is "sRNA MD11G0006300". Lineage: Eukaryota; Viridiplantae; Streptophyta; Magnoliopsida; Rosales; Rosaceae. The record is from RNAcentral.